CGCUCUCUGUAAACUAAAAAUAGGGAGUCGUGCCUGCCCAGUGAAAAUUAAACGGCCGCAGUACCCCGACUGUGCUAAGGUAGCAUAAUCAUUUGCCUUUUAAUUGGAGGCUAGAAUGAAUGGCUUGACGAGAACAAAGCUGUCUCUUUUAUAUUAUUUAGAAGUUAAUUUUUAGGUGAAGAAGCCUAGAUUAUUUUAAAAGACGAAAAGACCCUAUCGAACUUUAAAUUAUACUGAUGUUUAGUUUUUAGUAAAAUUAGUUUUUAGUUUUGUUUUUAAUUGGGGCGAUGAAAGAACAUAAAAAGCUUCUUUUUUUUUAUAUAAUUUUUAAAUUAAAAUGAUCCAAAGUUGUUGAAAAAAGAAAAGUUACCGUAGGGAUAACAGCGUAAUUUUUCUGGAGAGUUCAAAUUGAAGGAAGAGUUUGCGACCUCGAUGUUGGAUUAGAAUAUCUAUUUGGUGUAGCAGCUAAAAAUAGAAGGUCUGUUCGACCUUUAAAUUUCU
This 501-nucleotide ribosomal RNA is filed under the name Plaxiphora albida. RNAcentral's name for it is "partial 16S ribosomal RNA". It matches the Rfam family "Bacterial large subunit ribosomal RNA", at positions 1817 to 2597 of the family's 2925-position model. The record is from RNAcentral. Lineage: Eukaryota; Metazoa; Mollusca; Polyplacophora; Chitonida; Mopaliidae.